RNAcentral lists this ribosomal RNA (419 nucleotides) under bacterium. Its description in RNAcentral is "partial 16S ribosomal RNA". It matches the Rfam family "Bacterial small subunit ribosomal RNA", at positions 355 to 776 of the family's 1533-position model. The record is from RNAcentral.
UGGGGGAUAUUGCACAAUGGGCGAAAGCCUGAUGCAGCGACGCCGCGUGGGGGAUGAAGGCCUUCGGGUUGUAAACUUCUUUUGCUCUGAACAAGGCAUGCUAAUGGGUGUGUUGAGUGUAGGGGUUGAUUAGCGCCGGCUAACUACGUGCCAGCAGCCGCGGUAAUACGUAGGGCGCGAGCGUUGUCCGGAAUUAUUGGGCGUAAAGGGCUUGUAGGUGGCUGGUUGCGUCUGUCGUGAAAGCUCAUGGCUUAACUGUGGGUUUGCGGUGGGUACGGGCUGGCUUGAGUGCAGUAGGGGAGGCUGGAAUUCCUGGUGUAGCGGUGGAAUGCGCAGAUAUCAGGAGGAAUACCGGUGGAGAAGGCGGGUCUCUGGGCUGUUACUGACACUGAGGAGCGAAAGCAUGGGGAGCGAACAGG